Fopius arisanus is the source of this 560-nucleotide long non-coding RNA. RefSeq lists it as uncharacterized. The transcript has 3 exons. Lineage: Eukaryota; Metazoa; Arthropoda; Insecta; Hymenoptera; Braconidae. The record is from RefSeq and is a predicted model, not a curated record.
ACGCACAUUGUUUUAUAUUUUACAUCCGUUAUUGUUUGGCUUUUUUUGUUAAUAAGAUAUUUUUCGCUUAAAUACUCUUCCAGUUUUAUAAAUAUGUCUCUCCAAGACAUAGGCCGUACGCAGAUGUGAAACGUGCGAUAUCAGCACGCGGUGGCCUCAUAUUGAAGACUGCAUAUAUUCUCAUAAUUCCCAUUAGUUUUGCGAGGCGAUAAUUGUGAAUGCGUUAAAAGAAAUUUUCAAUGGCUAAUUCCACGGCAGCGCCACCUACAAUGAUGGAAAGAAAUUGAACGAGGAGCAACCGCGCAAACAAGAGGAUGAAAAAACGACGAAACCCUGCACCGAGAAAAAUCCUCGAAACAAAGAAACUAGGAUCGAUGGAAACUAAUUCAAUGAGGACAAAGCAACAGACCGAGAGAACGAGAGAACGAGAGAAUGAGGGAACGAGAGAACCGACAAGCCACGAGAAAAGGAACGAGGCAAGACGAUGGAACAAACUGGUGUGGAAGUGUUGAAAUACACAAAAAAUUUCCAAUAUAAUUAUAAAUUUAUUAAUAAACAGA